This 1141-nucleotide long non-coding RNA is filed under the name Citrus sinensis (sweet orange). RNAcentral's name for it is "long non-coding RNA (CSIN_LNC002622)". Lineage: Eukaryota; Viridiplantae; Streptophyta; Magnoliopsida; Sapindales; Rutaceae. The record is from RNAcentral.
CUCUCGCUUCGACUUCUCGGGAUUUCUUGUUAGCUGAAGUUUUGUUUUCUUCCACUAAUUCGAUCUUCGAAAGGUCUCAGAGCUCCAAGUAACUCAGUAAGCUCGGUUUUCUUCUAUUCUCUUGGAUACUUGCUUACACAUUCCUUUUUUUUGUGUUAAAUUUGUUGUUUUGUUGUGUUAUAUGGAUCGAUGAGAGUCACAGACUUUGAAUUGAAAAAUGAAAAUUAGUUUUUUUUUCUGUGCUACAAAAAUGGGCGGAGACUGCAAGCAAGAGGGAAUGAAGCGACUCGAGUCACGAAGAGUCCUGUGACUUGCGAGAGGUGACAUGUAACUAUGAGAAAUUGAAAUAUUUGAUUAUCGAGUAAAUAACAUUGAGUUCCCUAUAUUUUUAUUUUUAGUAAAUAACGAUACAUUAGUUUCAGUUUAUUUCAAAUAGGUUCCUCAUCCUUUGCCAGUGACCAAGUUGUGCAACCCUAACAUCCACAGCACCUCUUUUCGCUUCAAUCAUGACCGGAGCAUCAGAGCUUGAGUCUAUCCUUUUAUGUUCAUCUCCGUCUUGUUCUUCAUCCAUUUUUGCAUCUUCUACAUGAAUGGCUUCUGGUUCUUUGGUUUGAUUUUCUUCUGUGCUGCCUUUUGGUUCUCUCCCUUCGCCGACUUGUUCAGCCACUUUCGUAGUUUCAAUUCUGGAGCUCUGAAGGGGGCCAGUCAAUGAAGCUGUAGCUGAGUCCAUCAAUGCUGAUUCCUCAGUUUUUAUUUCCCCUGAUUCUUGUGGUUGUUGCUCUCCUUCGAGGUUAAUCUUUGCUUUUUGUGGAGUUUCUGUGGUUCCUUAUUGCUCAAAAAUUUUUGGCGCAAACUCAUCUCCAGUUUGAACUGGUGUGUAUGGGCGCUCAAUGAGAUCUGCUUCAGUUGUUGCAUAAGAGCUUUUCUCUAACUCACUAGUUUCUUGAAUGAUUUUGCUGUCUGUUGCAAACCCCCUUAUGCUUUCUUUUUGUGACAUCGCCAUACUCGAUUCUUGAUAAAAUUAAAAGUAAAGCUGCUCAAAUUGUGAAAAAUAAAAGAAAAACCGAAAUGUCUAAUUAAUAUCUGCAAGCAAAAUGGCUUUCAUAAUUUAGCUGCAUUCUUGUCCUACUAAGUUAUGUUU